This 721-nucleotide long non-coding RNA is filed under the name Marmota monax (woodchuck). Lineage: Eukaryota; Metazoa; Chordata; Mammalia; Rodentia; Sciuridae. The record is from RNAcentral.
UUAGGUAUGUUUUGUAUUUUCUUCUGACAGAUGCUGGCAAUCCUUGUCUUCAUCUCCUUUUCUUUAGCCUCUCAGUUGGUCCCUUUGGAGUUCAAGUGAGACUCCUUCAAUGCCCAUUUAUUCUUGGUCUUGAAAUUUUUGGUCUGCUCGUGACUCACAGAAUAAGUGUGGAUCAUGGCAUGCAUCUCUCAUUCCUGUAGAGUGCUGUAUUCCUGGCACUUACUGCAAAUUCUAUAUGUAAUAGCAAAUUAAUAUGUAUUUUAACAACAGGAGCCAAACUAAUGUUAACAUAAUUAAUGUUACUAUAAUCUAUGCAGACUAACCCCUCCCUGCUAGUGUAUGAACACACCCUGUUCAAGAAGCUUACAAUUUUAGAAGGCAGUAAUUCAUUUCAAUGACUAACUAAUAAGAACAGAGAGAAGGAGUAAUAGCACUCCACAUGAUAAUAGAGCCCAGAGCUGUUGGCUGCUCUAACUAUAAGACAAGAAAUUCCCACUGUGGCCUCCAAGGACCUGUGCAAAACAAGCAAGCAACUUUUUAAUCUCAGAAGAACUAGCUAAGCCCAUUUCUGGAAGAGAGACACAGAACCAUCCUCGUUGAAGAGGGAUUUCUCUUCAAAGCUAUGCACUUUUUAACAUCUCUAUUUUGUUAAUAUUUUACUCUGUCAAUUUACAAUUCAUCUGAAGUUUCAGAAAAGGAUGAUUUUUGUCCUCAAUUCCAC